This 179-nucleotide ribosomal RNA is filed under the name Mimulopsis solmsii. RNAcentral describes it as "5.8S ribosomal RNA". The stretch from base 9 to 164 matches the Rfam family "5.8S ribosomal RNA". From Rfam's summary of the family: 5.8S ribosomal RNA (5.8S rRNA) is a component of the large subunit of the eukaryotic ribosome. It is transcribed by RNA polymerase I as part of the 45S precursor that also contains 18S and 28S rRNA. Lineage: Eukaryota; Viridiplantae; Streptophyta; Magnoliopsida; Lamiales; Acanthaceae. The record is from RNAcentral.
GUCAAAACGACUCUCGGCAACGGAUAUCUCGGCUCUCGCAUCGAUGAAGAACGUAGCGAAAUGCGAUACUUGGUGUGAAUUGCAGAAUCCCGUGAACCAUCGAGUCUUUGAACGCAAGUUGCGCCCGAAGCCUUCGGGCCGAGGGCACGCCUGCCUGGGCGUCACGCAUCGSGUUGCCC